RNAcentral lists this ribosomal RNA (256 nucleotides) under uncultured bacterium. RNAcentral describes it as "partial 16S ribosomal RNA". It matches the Rfam family "Bacterial small subunit ribosomal RNA", at positions 524 to 776 of the family's 1533-position model. The record is from RNAcentral.
UACGUAGGGUGCAAGCGUUAAUCGGGAUUACUGGGCGUAAAGCGUGCGCAGGCGGUUGGGCAAGACAGAUGUGAAAUCCCCCGGGCUUAACCUGGGAAUGGCAUUUGUGACUGCCCGGCUAGAGUGUGUCAGAGGGGGGGUAGAAUUCCACGUGUAGCAGUGAAAUGCGUAGAGAUGUGGAGGAAUACCGAUGGCGAAGGCGGCCAUCUGGGACAACACUGACGCUGAAGCACGAAAGCGUGGGGGAGCAAACAGG